AUCAACAGCCAAACUGCCUUCAACAGGCUAAUUUUGUCUAAUGUCAGAAGCUAAGCAGGGUUGGGAUUCAUUAGUACUUGGAUAGGAAACUGCCUGGGAAUAAUACUGGGUGCUGUAAGCU
Molecule: ribosomal RNA, 121 nt
Organism: Cricetulus griseus (Chinese hamster)
Lineage: Eukaryota; Metazoa; Chordata; Mammalia; Rodentia; Cricetidae
Source: Ensembl